This 21-nucleotide non-coding RNA is filed under the name Arabidopsis thaliana (thale cress). The record is from RNAcentral. Lineage: Eukaryota; Viridiplantae; Streptophyta; Magnoliopsida; Brassicales; Brassicaceae.
UAGCUCUAUAUUUGUCUGCCA